Molecule: ribosomal RNA, 464 nt
Filed under: uncultured bacterium
Lineage: Bacteria
Description: partial 16S ribosomal RNA
Rfam family: Bacterial small subunit ribosomal RNA
Source: RNAcentral
CUACGGGAGGCUCCAGUGGGGAAUAUUGGACAAUGGGGGCAACCCUGAUCCAGCAAUACCGCGUGUGUGAAGAAGGCCUGCGGGUUGUAAAGCACUUUCGGCGGGGAGGAAACGCUUAAGGCUAAUACCCUUAAGAAUUGACGUUACCUGCAGAAGAAGCACCGGCUAACUCUGUGCCAGCAGCCGCGGUAAUACAGAGGGUGCAAGCGUUAAUCGGAGUUACUGGGCGUAAAGCGUGCGUAGGCGGAAGUUUAAGUCGGAUGUGAAAGCCCCGGGCUCAACCUGGGAACUGCAUUCGAUACUGGGCUUCUAGAGUAUGGUAGAGGGAAGUGGAAUUCCCGGUGUAGCGGUGAAAUGCGUAGAUAUCGGAAAGAACAUCAGUGGCGAAGGCGGCUUCCUGGACCAAUACUGACGCUAAGGCACGAAAGCGUGGGGAGCAAACAGGAUUAGAUACCCCCGUAGUC